This is a long non-coding RNA of Gallus gallus (chicken), 1691 nucleotides long. NCBI's taxonomy places the organism in Eukaryota, Metazoa, Chordata, Aves, Galliformes, Phasianidae. The record is from Ensembl.
GCCUUUGCCUGCCAUUGUAAUUACUUUCUUUCCUAAAGUGACAAUCUCAGGACCAUCCAUGCACAAUUAUCUCAUUGUUUUUCAGACUAGCUCUAGAAACUGCAGUAAUUAAACUCUGAUCACUGCAUUAGAGCCUUAAUUAUUGCAACUUUGGGAAAAGAAAAAACAACAAAAGAUGAAAUUAAAAUGGUUGCUAGCUACACAGGUAUGGUUAUUCUAUACAGUUGUAGGACAUGGUCAAGUGUGAGAGUACAGUCCUGGGAAUCUCUAAAUGACUCCCAGAGACACAGUAGCAUCCAGAAUGCAGUUGUGCAUCAGUUUGCUUAGUCUGGCAUCAGAGGGGGUCUGACUGCUCUCUCUAAGCAAAGCAAAUGAGGAAACAUCAGUCAGAGGAGAAAACGAUCUAAACUGAAUGACAGCAUCAGUGUCAGAAUAGAAGUGACUAAGCUAACAGUCAGUGCAUCAAUGCUGGAAGUAAGAAUGUCUCUGAUUGCUAAGCACAGAGACUUCAAGAACCAACUAUGGAGGUAAACACAACUGUUAAAUAAUUAUGACAUAUUGUCAUGGCAGGGGAUAGGAGCUGAUGCCUCUAUGUUGCCUGUUCAAGCCCUGAGAUCCUGAAAAUACACGGACAGCACUAACUGAAGUUCUUGAGUGGCCCUGAAGUUGUCUGGUCAAUGCAGUGGCAUUUUUGCAUGAGCGUGAGUUUUGCAUUAGAUGCCAACCAUCUAAUAAGCUAACAGAGUCAACCUCACAUCCAAAUGGAAACUUUCCAACCUAUCAACCAAAUAAAGCUGCCUAAAAUAAAAGCCAGCAGAGCUAGCAUGUUCACCUAUAGAAGCUGGGCUCAAAGAAACUUCUCAAAAAAAUGCAAAUGUGAAACACUAGCAAAAAAAGGCAGAAACAUACAUAUCACCAAUCUGCUCCUUAACUAUGAACACUUCCAAUGCCGUUAUCAAAAAACUGGAUUGAGAAUACAAUGUAUGUUCAUCUAAAUUACUUGUCAACAACCCAGAGAAGAUGAAGAUUCAGUUGGGUUAAAGAGGAGCAGACUUUAAGUAUCAGCUUCACAUAAAGAAUACCACAAUAAUAAUCUCUUCAUCCCUUCAGCAGCUUCACAGAGGUGUUGAACAAUAGAUUUGAAAAGAACAAACUCUACAAAAGUUCACAUGAAUAAGGUGAGAGAAGAGAUAAAAAUAAGUACUGGUUAUGGUUUCUCAAACAAGAUGUCUCUUCUGCUACUGAUGUCCAUUUAUGAACCUUAGCUGUAAAUUAACCUAACUUCUGAAUAAAACCUGAGAUUCCCUCCACUUUAGUCCAUUUAGGCUGCUCAUCUAAAAUGAAUACAAAACAUGCCCCUCAAAAUAAAUGAGAAAAAAAAAAAAAAAGACUGCACUACCUUUUAUUGAUGAAAUUAUAUUUUAGAUUAUGUUCUAGAAGAAAAUAUUUUUCUAUCUUAUUUCCAUUUUCAUUUCUGAAGAUUCCUGUUCUGUCAGAUGUGAUUAGCUGCACCUUUUGCCAGGAGACAUUUUGUGCAUACAUGAAAGCAUGAGUGCAUUUGUGUAGACACACUUGCAUACACCUUUAAAAUCUAUUCCUCUAACCUAUCCAGUUGCUGAAAGAUUAUAAAUGCCUUAAGCACAGAAACCGUUUAUAGUGAAUAAACAUUUGUAUACAGAAAACAAACACAC